UACGUAGGGUGCAAGCGUUGUCCGGAAUUAUUGGGCGUAAAGAGCUCGUAGGCGGUCUGUCGCGUCGGCUGUGAAAACUCGGGGCUCAACUCCGAGCUUGCAGUCGAUACGGGCAGGCUAGAGUUCGGCAGGGGAGACUGGAAUUCCUGGUGUAGCGGUGAAAUGCGCAGAUAUCAGGAGGAACACCGGUGGCGAAGGCGGGUCUCUGGGCAGUAACUGACGCUGAGGAGCGAAAGCGUGGGGAGCAAACAGG
This 253-nucleotide ribosomal RNA is filed under the name uncultured bacterium. RNAcentral describes it as "partial 16S ribosomal RNA". It matches the Rfam family "Bacterial small subunit ribosomal RNA", at positions 524 to 776 of the family's 1533-position model. The record is from RNAcentral.